This is a long non-coding RNA of Podarcis raffonei (Aeolian wall lizard), 1666 nucleotides long. RefSeq lists it as uncharacterized. The transcript has 3 exons. The record is from RefSeq and is a predicted model, not a curated record. NCBI's taxonomy places the organism in Eukaryota, Metazoa, Chordata, Lepidosauria, Squamata, Lacertidae.
ACUGGUUCAUCCAGGAUCAAAAUUCAUGAUGAAAGUGUCCCAUUUCCCUCCCCUCCCUUUUCUUCUGUUGACUCCUUCCAUCUUCUUCUUUUCUAGGGCUACAAAGUAAAAAGUGCCUUCAGUGCAGACCAAGAGAAGGAGGAAGUGGCUGUAGAGCUAGAUCGUUCAGGAUCUAACUUUCUGUGGAAACCGAGACAAACAUUUGUACUACACAAAGAAGAUUGCUGUUCCCAUCUGCUUCAUGCAGCAAAUUGGAUAAAACACCCAAGAAGAAAUUUUCCUAUCCCCAAAUCAGAAUGGACUUUACAGUGGUUUGUUGCGAGCCAUCCCGAAGUCCCAAAGGAAGGGAAGCUGCAGAGUGAAUCAGAUCCUGCAGCUAAUACAUAAGAAGAAGCUGUGCCCACAGCACUUCCUCCGACUGCAUUGGCACAGUCCAGGCACACUCGUGUUUGGACACCAGGACAGACCCAGCUGCAUCUGGUGUCUAUAUACUUCAGAGACAAGAUCUUGCUGCCCAGACGACCAGAGAGCUCAAAGAACCUUCCCUGCCGUACAUACAGCCCUUCCCUCAUGUGGAACUUCACUUCCUGGGUCACCAGGAAGCAACACAAGACAGUGCUCUUUUACAGAAUUGAAAGUAGUUUCACGGGGACAUCGUGCUAACACUCAUUCCCCACCCCCCACAACCAUCCCACUAUCUACUGUGAUCAAACAGGUUUUUUAUCUUCUGUGAUGCAAACACUCCCUUGUCCUGACAUGCUGUCUUGCCAUUAGAGACAGGGUGGAGAUCGCUGGUGACGCUUUCACUAACACAACGGUACUGCUACAUUACAAAUAGUAUCCCAACCAGCACACAUAAGAAUAUGAUCGCAGCCACACUUAAAACUUUACAUAUUGCAGUCCUCUUUUCUGCCUCGCAUGUGGAUCAUCACACUUUCUGAUUUGUUGAUUUUACAUUUAUAUCCCAUUUAUUUUCCAUCAUGGAACCCAAGGUGCAUGUGUGCAUGUGGUUUCCAGGAAGUCACUGUUUCAGGUAGCAACCAGACCUGGACCAGCUUAGCUUCAGCAAGAUGGUGGCCUCAUCCUCUGGUGCCUGCAGAUCACCCCCUGGGUAUGCUAUAGGCAUGACAUUAGAACCAGGUUAAAAGGCUUCUGAAUGAAACAUUCACUCUGAUGAGUGUUGCAUAUAUGCAAUGGGUACCUAUAUGCAAUGGGUGAAGAGAAUUGGGUGGGGAGAGGGGAUAAAUAUAUGUGCUGCAAGACAUCAACUGGUUUGUCAGAUACUAUUAUGCAGGACUGAAAAUGAGGCAGCAAAAGGAGUAGAGUUCAAUGCACUCUUUGCCCUGGGAAAAUCCUCCAUGGACAGCAAUUUAAGCACCACAGCUGCAACUAAUGUUGUGCUAUAAUGCUGGAUAUCUCAUAGUUUGUGCAACUCACUUACUCUGCAUGACAUUAUUUGCAUGAAAUAGCACACCAUAGUAAUUACAAUUUAGCAGUCAAAUUAGAAAGAUUUUGAUUAUAAUGACUUUGCAUGACACAGUACCCAGCAUGAAACACCAGACAAGCAUUUUCAUUAAGGGUAUGCAAAUACCACCAUGGGACAGGGAUGAGCUUUAGUGCUUUGUUAUUAUUAUUGAUUUACAAAAAUAGAACUUUGGUUGAUAAA